RNAcentral lists this unclassified non-coding RNA (402 nucleotides) under soil metagenome. Its description in RNAcentral is "partial contains 5.8S ribosomal RNA, internal transcribed spacer 2, and large subunit ribosomal RNA". The stretch from base 1 to 121 matches the Rfam family "5.8S ribosomal RNA", at positions 35 to 154 of the family's 154-position model. The record is from RNAcentral.
GAUGAAGAACGCAGCGAAAUGCGAUAAGUAAUGUGAAUUGCAGAAUUCAGUGAAUCAUCGAAUCUUUGAACGCACCUUGCGCCCUUUGGCUAUUCCGAAGGGCAUGCCUGUUUGAGUAUCAUGAACACCUCAACUCUCAUGGUUUGCCAUGAUGAGCUUGGACUCUGGGGGUCUUGCUGGCCUAUGGUCAGCUCCUCUCAAAUAAAUCAGCUUGCCAGUGUUUGGUGGUAUCACAGGUGUGAUAACUAUCUACGCUUGUGGUUUUCCAUCAGGUAACCUUCAGUGAUGGAGGUUCGCUGGAGCUCAUAAAUGUCCCUCCUCAGCGAGGACAGCUUUUUGAACGUUUGAUCUCAAAUCAGGUAGGACUACCCGCUGAACUUAAGCAUAUCAAUAAGCGGAGGA